GAGAGAGAGAGACAACAAGCAGGGGAGGAGCAGAGAGAGAGGUGAGAGAACCCCAAGUAGGCUCUGCAUUGUCAACACAGAGCCCACUGUGGGGCUCGAACUCAUGAGCUUGAGGUCAGGACGUGAGCUGAAAUCAAGAGUCGGAUACUUGACCGACUGAGCCACCCGGGCACCCCUAGACCCCUUAUUUUAAAAUGAGGUGGGUACAAACAAUAUUUAUUCAGUUAAAAACCACUUUUUGUCUAGUAAGAGAAAUGAAUUCACGACAGAUUAAAAUAAUGUGGAACCUGAAAAGUGCCUUGAAAGGUAUUCAGAGUGUCUUCCGACACUGGACGUACACAAACCCUAUGUCCCUGGGGUCCUGCUCCCAGUUCCUUAUGCAGCAGAAAUGCAUUCACAGGUUCACCAAAAGCCAUGGACCAGAAUGUUCACCGCAGCACUGGAAAGUGGCCAAAUGCCCAUCAACAGUACAAUGAAGAAAUGAGCUGUGAUAUAUUCACAUGACGUGAUACGAUACAGCAAUGACAAUGAACAAUACAGCGAGUCCCACAGACAAUGCCGAUGAACAAAUGAAGGAAGCCAUUUGCAAGAGUACGCUUGGAUUCCAUUCAGAUGAAUAGAAACAGAGUAAACUAAGCCAUACAGGUAGAAUUUUUCAACACUGACCUGUGCAAAUUCACGUUCUUUUCUCAAUGUACGUCGUCCUGAAAGGUGUUAAAAAAUGGCACAUAAAGUGGCUUUAGCAGGAAAAGAAGUUGAAUCUGAUUUAGAAGAAAGAGAAGUGGCAUCAGGAAGCUUUCCAGAGAAUGACGCUGUUCAGUGGAAGGAGCAGGAGUUUGGGGAGGGAUGGCAAAUCCUACCCUGUGGCGUUGCCGGGGACAUGAGGAACACUGUGUAAAGUGCCAAGCACAUGCCGGGGCCCACGGAGGCCGGAUUGAUGACGGCUGUUCCCAUCGAUGGACCAGCUGAUGUUCCAGCUGAUGUUCCCGCAGAGCCAUGAAAAACGCCUGGGAUUCAGACACGCGGGGAGUGACAGCGGCGCGACGUUAACAAAACCAAACACGGCUUUGAGAGAUGGUUGGGCUCGGGGCAGGGCAGGUGUGUGUGGGGAGGCACCGCCACCAUGGACUUUGCCUGUCCCGUGCCUUACCCCCUGGGCCUGGGCUUGGCCUACAGCAGGCACUCGUUAGUAUUUGUCUGGAUCGAACAAGCAGUUGAAAGAAUGAGGAAGGAACAAUGGAAGGGAAUGGGAGUUUGGGACCCUGUGGUGGACACUUGGGCAUGGCGGGCUGAUAAGUUCUACUUAACUUCUACACAUGAAGCAUUACAAGCAGGAGGUGGUCUGAAACCGUUAAAGGCAGAGGGCUCGCCCCAGAGUGGCACUCGUCAGUGGUGGCCGGAACAGUCCCACCCCGUUACCUGCCCACGUGAGGGAAAUGCAGACACAGACAAAACAGCCUGAAAGGUGAGCAGCGGUUUGACAGACCGGUCAAGCUUUAUCUUUUUGAAUCUGAUUUAAAAUAAUGGGCUCGCACUUUGUACUUUUUGCUUCGUACAAAAUCUCUAAUGAAACUAAUGUCACUGUACAAGUCCUCGUUGGAUUGCGAUGUAGGAACAAGAACGGGGCUUCGCCCCCAGGUAGUUGGGAAAGAGCACUGAACCAGAGGCUGAACGUGAGAGGCUGUUCUCCGGUCCCCACCAGUCUGGCUGGGAAGUCCCGUGUGCUUAGCAAGCUGGGAGCCCCCUGCCUGCCCGAGGCUCCCCUGUUCUGACGCACCAGCAGAUGAGAACACCCCGGUCAUAGCCCUGGGCGGGACUCCAUGGAUGGUUGAUUUCACUCUCCCAGACCUGACUCUGCCUGCUGGUAACUGACAACCCCUGUGUGUGCAAACAGGGGAGCCGCUGGGGAGCCUGCUGUGUAUCCCACUGAACAUGUGCCUGAAGAGGGGCAUUGACUCGGCGACCGUCUUUCCACGAGAAGGGGUUCCGGUCAGCAGGGAGCCCCUCAUUCCUCUGCUAAGUGCUGUUUCCCAAACUCUGAUCAUCUGAACACACUGGAGACGAAGGAGGGGUCAUUGCUCCUCACCAGAGUUGGGGAACAGUUUGUAGCAGUCUCCUCUUCCUGGGGUUCCCUUUGUGAGCAUACAUGAUUAAAAUAAAAUUCAGUAAAAAAACAACAACAACAACAACAACAACAACAACAAAAAAAAAACCCAAGAUGCUUUGUCCAGACCCUUUCUGGUUGCACGUGAGAGAAAACCAAACCCCAAAUGAUGUAAAAGGGAAUUCAAUCAUGUAAUUGAAAACUCCAGAGUCACAAUCGUUAUAUCUUGUCACAAUCAUUUUUUCAAAUACAAAAGUCCUAGGUCACAAUCUUCUGUGAAUGUAGAAAGGAUGAUACCCAGAGCCCUGGAGGAUGAGGCACUCUGGAUCUCCUAGACAGUUUAAAGUUUUACCUGCCCUAGUAGACGUUGAUUGCUCCCUUCACCCGGCACCUCACUCCCUCUCUCAUGGGAACAUUUACUCCCACCUCCCACUUCCCGUUUGCUCAUCCUGCUCCCAUUUUGUCUCCUGACUUUAUCCCACGCUGCAGGAGUAGGCGUGUGGUCCAAGGUUGGCCAAUCAGAACAUUGUGCAAACUUCUGGCCACAGGGAUUGGGUCCACGCUGGGCAUGUGACCCAAACCAAGCUAAUCAGGUCAAGCUGGAGUUAAUCUUGCCUGCUGGCUUGUGUGGUCAGAGCAGAGAAUGGUCUCCUUUUCACCAGAGUUUGAGGUGUUGGCAGCCAUCUUGCCACCAUGAGGGCAGAGCUGGUCUGAGAGGAACACCAUCAGAGGAGGAAACAACAGGGGAUAGAAGCCAGAUCAUGAUGCCAUAGAUCCUACCUCUGGAUCCACUUGUGUCUGAAGCAAGGAUAGCUCUGGAUUAGCAAAUACUGCUCAUAAGCUUUUUUUUGCACCAUUUGAGACUGGGUUUUUGUCACAUGCAGCCAAAAGAGUCUUGAGCGGGCACCUCAAUUUUAUAUUUUAAUUACUUUUCUGUCAUUUCCACCUUAAAUAAAGGAUGCUCAACAUAAUUCAGCCUGUCUUUACGACUUGGACGUGUUGCUAUUGUACAGAUGUGCCUAAGGAGCUGCUGGGGCGGGUCAGACAUUAUCUGCUGAGCUUGUGAGAUUUCUGGCUUUUCUGUUUUUCUUAUCUCUGCCCUGCCUCACAGCUGUUAAGGAGCAGACUCUGGCUUCAUCUCAGAUUUGUUGCUUCUAGUCUGCAGUGAGAUUGGAAAGCAGUUAGCCAAAAUUUUGGGAUCUGGCAUUAAAUGAAAGUAAACGCCUUUAAUGUGGAUUUGGAGGCUCUAGUGGGGACGGGUUGCAAGGGCUUUGUGACAUUUUGGCUGCCCCCGAGGAUUUUUUUAUUUUUUAUUUUUUUGGUGUUUGCUGUUUGUUUCUGCUUGGUUCUGGAUGGAUGAGGUUUCCUGAUUUUUCUGUUAGUUGAGACUUUCACUGUAACAAGAUUUUCACACUAAAGGAGUGUGCACUGUGAGCAAAUGAGCUAGGGUUGAAAUGUCUUAUAACUUAGCCAAGUUACUGAGUUUGCUUCAAAGAAGAAACAGCAGCCGACAGCAGUAUUCUGAACCCCAGGCUGACCUUUAAGUUGUUUUGCUUCUUUUCUAAAAUAGCCCCUUUAUUUUCAACCUCUAAUCACAUACACUGACUUGCAAGGGGAGGAAAAAAACCCAAGCAUGCUUGUAUCAGAGGGAGCGGUCCACUUAAGGCAGAUGUGGAAUCAAUUUGGGCAAAUGUGAGUUGCCAGCUUCUGAACUUUUCUGCUAAGUAUAUUCGCCCUGGAAUACAUCAGAGCCACUUAAGCCUCGUAAAUGUGUUGCUGGAAUAUUGGGUAAACGUGUGUAAGGGGGCAUUCAGCUUGCUGCCCUGGCUGAGUUGAGUGAAAACCCAAAGGGGCACAUUCUUCUCUGAGAAACUCAAAUGAAGACAGUUGUGUCUGGGAAAAAAUAUAACUGAGGUCUGGUUUUGAGAUUACUAGGAAAAUGGAAGCUCUGGUGAUUUAUCUUGCAGAAUGAGCAAAAUCUGCCUUCUACAAUGGCUAUUUUUUAUGUUUAUUUGUGCUCCCACUUGAUGUGGACUCCCAUCAGAGAUAUAAUAUACCGAGCGCGAAACUGUUAUUUAGUUUUUGUCAUCAAAAGAGCAGGACUCCGUUUCUGCUGGUCCCUGCUUUUUGAAAGUUGGUCUGUGGCUUUGGGGGACAAGUUAGGCAGGCGCCUGGGAAUCUCAGAAGGGUCGCUCUUGUUGCUUCGCUCACUAAACACGUGACUCCUCGGUUCAUUUGAGCUCUCCACUAACUUUGCACCAGCUUUCCAUGGGUUUCAGUGAUGAAGACAGUGGUUGUGGUGAGUGUCGGUGAACUUGGCCCAGCCUGUCCCCAAGGCCUUGGCCUCCAGGAUAUGCUUCCAGGAAAGGAAUCGGAAGACACGUAAGGGCAGUUGAUUCUCUAGUGUCUAGAAUGCCUAAUACAAUUACACGAGCAUGGUAGGUGUAAUGGGUUGAAUCGUGUCCACUCAGAAUUCAUUAUGUCGAAAUCUUAACUUCCAGCAUCUCCGAAUGUGACUGUAUUUGGAGAUGGGGUCUGAGAGAGAGAGAAUUAAGGUAACUUGAGGACAUCAGGGCCGGUCCUAAUCCAGUAUAACUGGUGUCCUUUAUAAGCAGAGGAGAGAAAGACACUGACAGACUCACACAAGUCACAGGAAGACACAGGAAGAAGAUGGCCAUCUAUGAGCCAAGGAGAGAGGCCCCAGGAGAAAUGAGCGUAUCAAUAACCUUGAUCUUGGACUUCUGUGAGAAAAUCAGUUUCGGUUGUUGAAGCCACCCAGGCUGUGGUACUUUGUUAUGGCGGCCCUGGCAAACUAAUACAGAUCAUGGCCUUAGCUGGAGGGUGAACUUCUUCCAAGGCUCACAACCCUGCCUGCUUUCCCAGAUUACUCAUCCACAUGGCCCUCCAUCCCUACGGAUCUACUCCUGUCCCUCGACAUGCCCCUGAUGCCUUCCUGCCCCUCCCCAUCCCUCUGCCCACCUUCAGUCCUUGUGGAAACUUGUCCUUCAGUUUCCACUGAAACUGAUCCUUCGAGGACCUUCAGGCCUUGUCACCUAUGCAAAUACCACAGUUAUUUCCAGACCUGUUUAAAGUUUGUCCCCACCCCCCGCCAAGGCUUCCUUGGUCUUAGCCUCCUAACAUGACUGUCAGCUUCUAUCCUUGUCCCCUGUGGUAGACAGACCCUAAGAUGGCCCUGUGGACCCCAUCUCCCCUGAGUGUGCGUGGGACUUGUAGGUAUAUGUGGUGGACGUCAUGCCCAUGAUUAGGUUACUGAUCAGAUGCCUUUCAAGGGUGUCUUGGUUGGUCCUUACCUACUAUGGUGGGCCCUUUCGAGGGACUGGGUCCUUCCUGAAGGAUGAGAUUUGAAGUGUAAGAGAUUCCCCUUCUGGCCUUGAAGAAGCAAACAGCCAUGUUGCUAACUGAGGAGGGGAGCACACGGCAAGGACUUGAGAGUGGCCUCCAGGACAAGAGCCUUUCGCAGCCAACCGCUGGCGGGAGAAUGGGAUCUUGGUUCUGCAGCCACAAGGAUAUGGACUCUGCCACCAAAAGCAGCGGGCCUGGGAGAGGACCUGGAGCUUCAGAUGAGAUCAUAGCGCCAAACGACACCUUGCUUUCGGCCUGGUGGGACCCUGAGCAGAGGACCCAGCUCGCCCACACCCAGGCUACUGACCCAGGAAACUGGCACGAUACGCUUGUGUGGUUUUAAGCUGCUGGCAGGGUAGUGGUUUUGCGGUUAAUAGUUCUGCGGCCAAAGAACGGAUGCACGCUACUUGCUGUCACGCGCCAGCCAGGGUGGCCCUGUUAGAAUGCAAGCAGAUGGCCCUCCUUCACUCAGAAAUGUCUCCUGUUGGCCUGGUGAUGCAAGCCCAAGGCCCAGGACGUCUUCCAUGAUCUGACCUCCAACCACCCCUGACCGCGUCCCUCUUACUUUCUCUCCUGUUCCCUUCUGCUCCAGGCACGGUGGCCCCCUCACUACUCCAGGAAUGCAUCGGGCCUGCUCGCGUUUCCACCGCCUUUGGUCUCUCCAUCUUGAAUCCUCUCCCCCCGUAUUCCCUCAUGGCUCCUCCCAUCACCUCCUUCAAAUCUGUUCUCAGGAGGCUCCCCUCAUCUCUACAUUUAAAGCCACAACCUCUUGGGGCACCUGGGUGGCUCAGUCGGCUAAGUGUCCGACUUCAGCUCAGGUCACGAUCUCACAGUUCGUGGGUUCGAGCCCCGCAUCGGGCUCUGUGCUGACCGCUCAGAGCCUGGAGCCUGUUUCAGAUUCUGUGUCUCCCUCUCUCUCUGACCCUCCCCCAUUCAUGCUCUAUCUCUCUCUGUCUCAAAAAUAAAUAAACGUUAAAAAAAAAAUUAAAAAAAAAAAAAUAAAGCCACAACCUCUCAGGGCACGUGGGUGGCUCAGUUGGUUAAAUGUCCAACCUCGGCUCAGGUCAUGAUCUCAUGGUUCGACUUCGAGCCCUGUGCAGAGCCUGCUUGGGAUUCUCUCUCUCCCUCUCUCUCUUCCCACCGCCCCCCCCCCACUCUCUUUCUCUCAAAAUAAAUAAAUUAAUUAAAAAAAAAUAAGACCAAAACCUCUCCUCACAGAACCUGACACCGUCCCCCCCCCAGGCCCCUUCACCCUCCUCCAGCACCGUAUAGUUUACAUAUUUAUUGUGAAUAUUAUCCUGUAACACUAGGUAUAAUUCAUGUAUUUGUCAUAUAUUAUGUGUUUCCUUCUCCUGUUGGCAUUUAAACCCCACAAAAGCAGGA
This is a long non-coding RNA of Neofelis nebulosa (Clouded leopard), 6850 nucleotides long. RefSeq lists it as uncharacterized. The record is from RefSeq and is a predicted model, not a curated record. NCBI's taxonomy places the organism in Eukaryota, Metazoa, Chordata, Mammalia, Carnivora, Felidae. The transcript is spliced from 4 exons.